Molecule: ribosomal RNA, 249 nt
Filed under: uncultured Parvibaculum sp.
Lineage: Bacteria; Pseudomonadati; Pseudomonadota; Alphaproteobacteria; Hyphomicrobiales; Parvibaculaceae
Description: partial 16S ribosomal RNA
Rfam family: Bacterial small subunit ribosomal RNA
Source: RNAcentral
CACGCCGUAAACGAUGGGUGCUAGUUGUCGGGCAGCUUGCUGUUCGGUGACGCAGCUAACGCAUUAAGCACCCCGCCUGGGGAGUACGGUCGCAAGAUUAAAACUCAAAGGAAUUGACGGGGGCCCGCACAAGCGGUGGAGCAUGUGGUUUAAUUCGACGCAACGCGCAGAACCUUACCAACCCUUGACAUCCCGGUCGCGCUUUCCAGAGAUGGAUCGCUUCAGUUCGGCUGGACCGGAGACAGGUGU